This is a non-coding RNA of Podarcis lilfordi (Lilford's wall lizard), 6365 nucleotides long. The record is from the annotation of a GenBank genome assembly. Lineage: Eukaryota; Metazoa; Chordata; Lepidosauria; Squamata; Lacertidae.
AGAGGACAGUUCUAAAACAAGUUUUAUGAUAAAGCUAUUUAAUACAUUUAAUUGUAGAACAUAAUGAUUCUAAUUCCCAUGUAAAACUGGAAAAGGUGGAAAAUGUCAGCUUUUUUUGUUUGUUUUUGAAGCAGUUAAUGUAUUCAGUUUUCCACACUCUUUUGUUACAGUUUUCUGUGUUAAUUACUGGCUGGAAGCGUGUUCAAGAUACUGUAAAAUAUUUGAAAAUUGUUACGUUGCGUCCUGCCAUAAUAAUACUGACAGUGGAUUACUUACUGCUAAUUAAUUUCUGUCAUUUAGCAUUCAAGUUCUUGCCGUUAAUACAUGGCAGUUUGAAACACUGAACUAUCAUAGAACACCACGUAUCACCAAUUAAAUUGCAUGUCUUUAUUCCUUUUGUCUGCAUUUGGUGCAUAUAAGCAGCCCUGGCUCUACCUAAACAUGGUGCUUACUGAUUAAGUGAAAAUCAGUUGUGACUAAAACAGAUAGUGAAUGGUUUUUCAGCAAAUCAAAGACAAUUUUCCACUUUUCUUCUGGUCCUUGUCCUACACAUAGUGAUUAUUUUUCUGCCACCAUCUCACAUGAUUAACCUAGAUAUUUAGUCUUGUACCUUGUCUUUCAUCUUAGGACAGGGAUUGUACUGUGGCUGGAAUGGAAAGUUGGGUACAUAAGCUUCAAGAAUUGUAGUUUAUGUACUUCCAGUUUUGUAAUUGUGAGACUGAGGGGCUAUAGCUGUGUGUAUAGAGCUUGGGCACAAUGGUUCUUUUCCUGACCCUCACCUCAGUACACCAAUAUUUCUGCUCUAGAAAUGGAUUUGUCUGACAGAUGUGGCACAACAACUAUUAGCAAGCCAAGAAAAGGACUCAGGAAGUUCACGUUCCAUUUACGUGUGUCCUAGUGACCUUUUGGCCAGUAUUGAGCCAGCUAUGAUUCUUAAGCUCACUUUAACAGCUGGCAGGCAGCGUUGCAAGCGUGCACCUUUGGCACUUGCCUUAUUUAAACUGCUGUUGCUAUAGAUGUAUCACCAUCUGUUCUUUCCAUCAGUUGCAGCUGUAUUAGCUAAUAUCUUUUCAGCGAAUCUCUCUGGCAGCAGAGUACUGUGCCCCCCUAAAACUCUUUCCUUUGGAAGGCCCUCCAGAGCAACUUGAGAGACUUCUGCCAGAAGGAAAAAAUAAGUUGCUGGGGUGAGAAAAGGCACCCAUGGACUCUGGCACUGGCUUCCCAUUGCCUGCAGCAAUGGUUUGAGGCAGCCCUGGCGAGAUGCCUUAUGGUGGCUUCCUCCUCCUGCUGCCAUGGCUCUGCUUCUCCCCAUUUGCCAUUGUUUCAGUGUAACUGCCCUUUCCUGCUCUGCUUGUCUACCCAAUUGCUUGCUUGGUGAAUGGAGCAGCUGACCACACUUUUCUUUAGGAAAAUGGUAGUAGCCGUCUGGGUGCUCCGCUACCAAAUGUAAAAUGGCACUGGCAGGAAGUCAGAAAACAACUCUCUUAUGUGAUCACAUAAUGCAUAAGUUCCUUUCCCACUUCCUGUCAGUGCCAUUUGCGAAACAGAUGAGAAGUAGUCAGUUGCUCAGGCUGCAAUAUCAGUAAAACUGAAGCUGUGCAGCUGGGUUUUAAAUUGCAUUCCUUGAAACUUCAUCACUUCCAAGCAGUGGUUCUCCUGAGAUAUUUAACAAAAGCAUAGCAAGACCAAAGGCCCAUCUGGUCUAGCAUCCUGUUGCUACAGUGAUGGACCAGAUGCCUAUGGAAACCUGCAAGCAGGAUAAGAGCCCCAUAGCCCUCUUCCCAUUUGUGUCUUCCUUUAUUUUACUCAAUACAGUAUACACACACAAAAUAAACAAAUAUCACAUUAUUCUCUGAACUGUCCUGAGACCUCCGGGUAUAGGGAGGUAUAUAAAUUCAAUAAAUAAAAAUAAAUAAUAAAUAACAUAAUUUUACAUAACCUUAGAGCAUUAAUGGUCAGUAUAGGCUCUCUACAGACAUGUUUGUGAGUUUAGUGGGAGAGAUUUGCUAUCAACUUCCCUUAUGUAAGAAAAGAAGGGGGACCAGGUUUCAUCAUUAUGACACCUUUUGCUAUCCUUCUAAGCCCAGUUAAUUGCUCUGAAAUAGCCACGUUCCAGAUAUUUUUUAAUCAAACUUCAAGGGGUAGCUCAGCCUGGGAUUUCCAAAAAUACGCUAUCACCAAAUGUGCGGCCGUCAGUAAAAAGAAAAUUAGAUCUUUAUGUUGAAUAGUAGGAUCAGACUCUAGAUUUCAUGAGAGCAGGGUUAAAGCUAGAUUUGGUGAGAGAGGUGUAUCAAUUUUAGAAAUGAUACCGAAGACCUUUGUCCAAAAUGCGUGGACAAAUUUACAUUCCCACCAAGCAUGAAAAUAUGUUCCCCUAUUCCCACAUCCCCUUCCACAAAGAGGGGAUAAGGAUUUGUUGAUUUUUGCUAAGCGAACCCGAGUCCAAUGCCACCUGAGGACGACCUUCAAAGAAGCUUCUUGAAGGUGAGAUGAAAUGGUUCUUAAAGGUGGGGUCCUCCAUAUGCCUUCCGACUCAUUAUCAUUGAUUUCUUUGCCUAUUUCAGUCUCUCAUACUACGUGCAAACCUUUCUCAUUCCCAAUGUAAUAUUCCAUGAGCACACCAUAAAUCAAUGAAACCACACCUUUCAUAUCACAGUGGGAUUCAAUACACCUUGUUUCAAAUGUCAUAAGAGAACGAACAACUGCAAAUAAACAACAUUGGAGAAUCUGGAGCCAGUUGGGGUGCAGAUCGUUUAGAUUUUCCUUUAACCUUUCUUUACCUAUUGCUUUGCCUUUAUAGAGUGAGUAUAAGCCUCUGUUUUUCCAUUCUUUGUAUGCCAAUAUUUAUCUUAUUGAUAAAUGGCAAAUAAAUUUAUCUGCCUUGAUAAAAGGCAGGAUGGUCUAGAAAGGGAGUUACCGUAAUGGUAACGUUCCAGAGGUCAACAUUUUCCUUUGAUUUUUCCAUGUCAAGAUUGCAGUUUUUUAAAAGGGAUUCAAUUCCCUUUAUCACCGAAUCUAAUAAUUUUAAGAAGGGAAGUGCUCAGAAUGCUGGCAUGGCGGAGGCAAUUUCAAUAUGGACCCAGGGAUCUUCUGUUUGGUCCCAAUCAGUGGGAUUAAUGAUUUCAUUUGAAAUGCCACUUUAUCUACAACAUGCUGUUACAUGUGUAGAGUUUAUGUGUUCUUCACACAUGACCCUAAAACAUGCUUUGAGAGACGGGGACUUUUAUAAUAAUUUAAGAAUAAUUUAUUAUUUAUACCCCGCCCAUCUGGCUGAGUUUCCCCAGCCACUCUGGGCGGCUCCAGAUCGAGUGUUAAAAGCAGUACAGCAUUAAAUAUUAAAAACUUCCCUAAACAGGGCUGCCUUCAGAUGUCUUUUAAAAAUAGGAUAUCUGCUUAUUUCCUUGACAUCUGAUGGGAGGGCGUUCCACAGGGCGGGCGCCACUACUGAGAAGGCCCUCUGCCUGGUUCUCUGUAACCUUUUGCAGGAGUCGCAACUGAGUGCCGUUCAAAAGAUCUGUUUGAACAAUUUAUUCAUACCACACCAAAGGUUUCUUUGGAUGCUAAAGAGAAGCAUCCAUUUAUUAUAUAAGCAACAAAAGAAAUAACGGUGCAGCAUAAAUAUAAAAUCACAGGUGUUUUUGAACCAAUGUCUUAACACAUCCAUACUCUAAAGAAAUAAGCGGCCCUAAUCUACAAUAGAAAUAAAGCAGUGGACCAAUUGCCCGACUCAGUAAAAGGCAGCUCCCUGUGUUACUUGUUCUUCUAUAUGCUUGGGUUAUUAUCUGUUUGAUAAUGCUUUCCACUAUUUUACCAGGAACAGCCUGUCAUUUCCUGGAUCUUCCCUGGAUCCCUUUUUAAAAAAAUGGUUCUAUAUUUGCCACUUUCCAAUCCUCAGGUAUGGAAGCUGAUCUUAGGGACGUGUUACUUUAAGAACUCUGAGGAUUUGUUCAUUUUUAAUUUAUCGGUAAGGUGAGAACUGCUUACCACUGUUUGCUUCAGUUCAGGCACAAGAAUCUGGCCUACGUUUUCUGCAGUGAAAACAGAUGCAAAGAAUUCAACCAGUUUCUGAUUUUAGAAGUCUGGAACUGAAAGUGAAAAUAAAUAGCUGUGACUAUGGACUGGCCAGUACAGUUAAGCACACUUUAAGCCCAUUGAAAUCAGUCAGCUUAAGCAGGCUUAACUCUGUGCUGGACUGUAGCCGGUGAGACUUGCAUCCCAUGAUAUGACUUGUAUGAUAAGGCUGCAUUGUUUCGUUGCCUAGCUAUAUUAACAGCAAGGAUACUACUGCUUAGUGCUAACAAAUAAAAUGUAUAAAAUAGAUAUUUGGAGAGUUAAUUAAAUUAUAUGGGUAUUAAUGGUAAGACAACAAAAAUGGAUUUUGUGAAUUCUUGCAGUAAUAAAGAAGAGCCUUGGAGGAUAAAUACCCACCAUUUAUUACGCAGUGGCGGGAAGACCUUCACAUCCUUGCUACCUAUUUGGAUGGCUUAUAUUGAGCUAUAUGUGUAAACUAAGAUGGGUGUAUUGAAAGUUAUUGUAUUGUUUUCCUUUUAUUUCCUUUUAAUAAAUUUUCAACAAAAAAGCAAAAGAAAUUACUUUCUUGUGUUUUAAAUAGUAUCCCAUAUGACCUAUUUUGAUUUCUAAGAUUGUGUGUAAGCAUUUUUUUAUACUGUAUAUAUGAAUCACUGAGAGUAAGUGGAGGUGUGUAGACUUGACCCAACCAUGGAUGGGUAAAAAAAGAAAGAGGUAAUGUGAUUUAUUUAUUGUUUUAUUUUCUUACAUUUAUUUCUGACCUUUCUUCCAUCAUGCAACCCAAGAUAAAGUGUGUGUGGUUUUGAGGUAGUCUCCCAACCAGGCACUGCCUAAACUCAGUCCUGUGUGGCUUCAGCAAGGUGCCAUACCAUACCCUGAGAACAUCAUGAUUCUUGUCUGUUAUAUAACAUCUCUAUUAUCAUUACCCAAAAUGUUAGAUAGAUGGAUACGGAUUGAUACAUUGUGGAUUUAUAAUUUGUUGAGAUAAUCAGUAGGUAACUGAAAAUAAAUUCAGUAAUUUGUCACCAGUUCCAUUUUUGGAGGGUAAAUUCUGACUCAGAUGCCUUUUGCCUGCUAACUAGCACUCUCCUUGUGCGCCAAUCCAGCCAGGUGCUUCAUGCUUGUGGAAGCAGACUUCUGUGUUGUGCAUCCCUUGUAAGAUAGAGUUGUCAGCAGCUGGACUGAGGAGGAAUGGUGGGGAUCGCCCCCUCCCCGAACCUUCCCAAGAACAGGAGGACAGUAUAGAUUUAUAACAGUGUUUUGCAGAAGGUCAUAGUUCUGAGACUGCAGAGGGGAGAAGCUGGGAAAUAAUGGGAGAGGAACAGCAGGAAGAGGAUGCACCAGGGGAGAGACAGCUGACAGACUCAGUGUCUUUAGAAAUAUUCCUGCCCCCCUCCCCCGGGACCAGGCAGGCAUUGAGAGUAGUAGAACAGAAAGCUCAGAGGCAGAAAACUCAGAUCAGCCGACGCAGGGAUGACGCAGAAUAGAAGAGAUUGAGGGGGUGUGACUUUACUUGGAGUAACACCAUUAUCUAAGAGAAACUGCUUUUCUUCGUCUCUCUGUGAAUAGUGAAUAAAAUAUUUGGUAAGAACUCUUCUUGCUUAUCUGCUUCUUGGCUGCCACCGUGGGAGGGAUUUGAUUUCCUGAAGCCUGAUAAGAAUUUUGCUUGUGGCAGAGGAAUUCAAACCCCAGCCAGGCAGGGGUGGGAGAUGAUGCAGUGGCAUAACCACCACAGCAUCCACAGCUGCACUGCUCAUGUUGACCCGGGUGGAAGGCAGGGUAGGCAAAAGCCUGCUCUGGACAACACCAGUCUGGAGUUGGCAUAGUCACUGGGCCUGGUGCUGUUGGGUGAGGGCAGUGGGGCUGGUUGGGGAUCCAGGAAAGCCCAUACCAGUUCAGCCCCAUCCCUGGAGCUUUCCAUGGGCUACUGCCAGUGGGAAGCCUGCCAGACAUCAGAGCAGCGGCUGGAAUGUGGAGCAGGGAGCAGUGCAGUAAUCCUGGGCUAGGUGGAGGGAGACCUCCACUCCAUCCGCAUGCAUUCUAACCCAGCAGAUCAUGGUUUUGGAUUGCAUUUGCAGCCCGCCCAGUCUAACAGCAGAGCAAUGUAUGUAGCCCUUUCAAAUAACCACAAUUCUACUGAUCAGGUCAAUGGGUUGUUGAAAGUUCCCUCUUUCUUUUUUUUAAAAAAAAGAUAUUUAUUGAAAUUUUCAAAAUGUUACAAAAAAUAAAAAAAAUAGAAACCGAAGAAAGUACAAACAAUAAAAAUAGUUGACAAAGUAGGAAAGGAAAAGAAAAGAACAAAAAACAAACCCUUCCCACCAUAUGAGAGAAAAUUC